This 2022-nucleotide long non-coding RNA is filed under the name Mus musculus (house mouse). Its description in RNAcentral is "POU domain, class 3, transcription factor 3 adjacent noncoding transcript 2". The record is from RNAcentral. Lineage: Eukaryota; Metazoa; Chordata; Mammalia; Rodentia; Muridae.
GACCCGGCCCGCGCUCUGCGGCCGGGGCGUAGCUCUAGCUCAUCCCCCACCAGUUCAGCCACGGUAGGAUGAGGAGGAUGAGGGUUUGCGGGAGGAAAAGCUUUGGAGAGAUGGGGUGCGGGACUAUGGAACCCGCUUGAGUCCAGUAGGCCAGCGCGGGUCAUUUCCAUAAGAAAGCCGCAACCCAGCUGGAGGCUGCGGUUCUUCAUGGCCUCCCUGCCCCCACCAUCAUUGGCAGCGUGUCGCGGGCUUCUCUGCAGCCUAGAUCUAGGCGACUGGUGUGGAUUGGUGUUGAUGAGAUGUGGCUUCCAGCGUUGCCCGACUCAGACCUGUUUCCAGUCUGGAUGGAGCGGACCGACUGUGUGGGUAAAGUUUGUUGCUUCUUGUACCUAAUGGUACCUUGAUUCCUGAUUCUGUCGAGUUAUGGAGAGCAUAAUUGAAGAUGGCUGGUUACAACCGACUUGGUUUGGAUGUGGAAUUGGGGCAAGCACUCUCUCCCAGUACUCUAGUAAUGCUGAAAACCCAAAUCUAUUUAAAAGGACAAGUUGUUUUAACUUCUACCACAGAUGGGGUGAGAGGAACAAGUGAAACUCAACAGCUAAGGAGAAAAUGAAGAACUAGUGCUACGUUUUCCACGUUCUUUUUGCUCCGGGGUUGACAUGGCAUUUGGCCUUUCUACCUGGAGAAAAUCAAGAGUAUGUAACUUUCCCUGCAGAUGGUCUGUCUGUAAGGUAAGGCAUUCACAUUGGGAUCUCGCAAGUCUCCAUGUAUAUUUACGUAUUUUUAUCCCCAGUCACCUGUCUUGGUUUUCUGGCAAGGGUCUGCAAAGGGAGGGAGACACAAGUGAAGUGGAGAUUUCCCUCUCUGGGGGCUUUUGUUUCCCUCUGAUGCCCCAGCUCACACUGCACAACAAAGGGAAGAGGCGAGUGAUCUCUCUUUUGGUCUCCUGGUCCCUCAUUUCCACCUCUCCUCUGUGGGCUUCCUCUUUGAGACCCGGAGGAAAGCCUGGGGAGGAGAUGGGGGGGGGGGUCAAGUUCACAACACUAGACUACUGCUGACCUUGCCAGACCCUUCUCCUUGAGAAGCAGAGAGCCCAUUUUAGAUGCUAGCCACUCUGUGCCUUUGGGUACUUUGGCCACUUCCAAAGACUGCAUAGUUGAGGCUGAUAGCUUCACACACCUCUCUGGUUAAAAAGCAUUGAGGACAAGGUCUGGUGAUUCCUGGAAGCGGUCCUCAAAGGGCCCAACCCCCACCCCAGCACUGGAGAGCCAUACACCUCAAGCAUGCCUUGCAAGGCCCUAUAUUCUCAUCACCGCAGAAACCAAAAACUCACAGAAACACACAGGACAGCUAUUAAAUAACUCUUGGAAGAGGUUAGAGGUCUUUACCUUGGGGCUGAGACAUUUUAAAGCCCUUUUGGGUAGAUCCUCAGGGGAUACGACAUAGAAAUUAAACUUGCUGGCUCAGUUUUAAAAUCCAAAAUCUCUCUCCUCUUAAAGCUGUUCAUUGAAAACGGUUUUUAGAUACCAUGUUGUUUGCUGAUGGUUCCUCUCACCAUUCUUAGGCUGGAGAGUCUCAAGGCCGUGCCACUAAGACUUCGGAGCUAGUUUUGGGGAGCCAUCCACUUUAUGAUUAGAUCUGUUGACUUUGUCUUUAACUCUGCGGGUGGGUUUUCAGACUUGAAAAAUGUAAAUGACAAGUUAACUCCUUCCCUGCCAGCACAUUACAGGAGUCUUUUCUUAGGGGAUGCCAGCUUGGCUUGUACUCAUCAAAGUGGGCACUGUGUCUGACCUGGGCAGAAAGAGGAGAUUUGACACUUUUCAUUUCAGAGCUGACACAGGAACCUUUGGGAGCCAGUAUCUAUUUUGUUUCCGACUGCAAAGUUCCAGCCAAUGAUUUGGAGGGGGGCCGGCACCUUCUGCUGGGAGCUAGUCUGGGAGGGAACAACUCAUUCCUGAGUUCUCUUUCGCAAACAUAUCUCUUGUCUAUUAAAAUAAUAGUAAUAAAAAUAAGAAUAAUAAU